RNAcentral lists this ribosomal RNA (468 nucleotides) under uncultured bacterium. RNAcentral describes it as "partial 16S ribosomal RNA". It matches the Rfam family "Bacterial small subunit ribosomal RNA", at positions 28 to 507 of the family's 1533-position model. The record is from RNAcentral.
GACGAACGCUGGCGGCGUGCUUAACACAUGCAAGUCGAACGGAAAGGCCCUGCUUUUGUUGGUUUCUCGAGUGGCGAACGGGUGAGUAACACGUGAGUAACCUGCCCUUGACUUUGUGAUAACUUCAGGAAACUGGGGCUAAUACCGGAUAGGAUCUCCUGCUGCAUGGUGGGGGUUGGAAAGUUUCGGCGGUUGUGGAUGGACUCGCGGCUUAUCAGCUUGUUUGUGGGGUAGUGGCUUACCAAGGCUUUGACGGGUAGCCGGCCUGAGAGGGUGACCGGCCACAUUGGGACUGAGAGACGGAGCAGAAUCCUACGGGAGGCAGUAGUGGGGAAUAUUGCACAAUGGGCGGAAGCCUGAUGCAGAAACGCCGCGUGCGGGAUGACGGGUUUCGGGUUGUAAACAGAUUUCGACUGUGAUGAAGCGGGAGUGACGGUAAUGGGUAAAGAAGCACCGGCUAACUACGUG